UUCGCCCUUAGAGUUUGAUCCUGGCUCAGAUUGAACGCUGGCGGCGUGGCUAAAGCAUGCAAGUCGAACGGGUCCGCAAGGACCAGUGGCGGAAGGGUCAGUAACACGAUCGAACGUGCCCCGAGGUGGGGGAUAGCGGCGGGAAACUGCCGGUAAUACCCCAUGAUCUCUCCGGAGCAAAGGUUUACCGCCUUGGGAUCGGCGAUCGUCCUAUCAGCUAGUUGGCGGGGUAACGGCCCACCAAGGCUAUGACGGGUAGCAGGUGUGAGAGCACGACCUGCGACAUCGGGACUGAGACACUGCCCGGACUCCUACGGGAGGCUGCAGCGACGAAUCUUCCGCAAUGGGGGCAACCCCGACGGAGCGACGCCGCGUGUGGGAUGAAGCGCCUACGGCGUGUAAACCACUGUCAGGGGACAGAACCAAUGAUCGUCCCCAGAGGAAGAGACGGCUAACCCUGUGCCAGCAGCCGCGGUAAGACAGGGGUCUCGAGCGUUAAUCGGAAUCACUGGGCUUAAAGGGUGCGUAGGCGGACCGACACGCGUCCCGUGAAAGCCCCCGGCUCAACCGGGGAACUGCGGGGCGAACGAGCGGUCUCGAGGCAGGUAUGGGCGGGCGGAACCGUAGGUGGAGCGGUGAAAUGCGUAGAUAUCUACGGGAACGCCGAAGGUGAAAACAGACAGCUGGGCUUGUUCUGACGCUGAGGUACGAAAGCGUGGGGAGCGAACGGGAUUAGAUACCCCGGUAGUCCACGCCGUAAACGAUGUGCACUAGAUCGAGGAGGAUCUGACUCCAUUCUC
This 800-nucleotide ribosomal RNA is filed under the name uncultured bacterium. RNAcentral's name for it is "bacterial SSU rRNA". It matches the Rfam family "Bacterial small subunit ribosomal RNA", at positions 1 to 843 of the family's 1533-position model. The record is from RNAcentral.